UUUUAGCCCCGAUGGAAGCGGCAUCCUUUUUCUUUUUAGAAAAAGAUAUAGCGAACAGCGGGAAGAAAU
RNAcentral lists this small RNA (69 nucleotides) under Flavobacterium dankookense. RNAcentral describes it as "Flavobacterium sp. ARSA-19 Flavo-1 RNA". It matches the Rfam family "Flavo-1 RNA". Lineage: Bacteria; Pseudomonadati; Bacteroidota; Flavobacteriia; Flavobacteriales; Flavobacteriaceae. The record is from Rfam by way of RNAcentral.